This 467-nucleotide ribosomal RNA is filed under the name uncultured bacterium. RNAcentral's name for it is "partial 16S ribosomal RNA". It matches the Rfam family "Bacterial small subunit ribosomal RNA", at positions 28 to 507 of the family's 1533-position model. The record is from RNAcentral.
GAUGAACGCUGGCGGCGUGCUUAACACAUGCCAGUCGAACGGAAAGGCUCCUGCUUGCAGGGGUACUCGAGUGGCGAACGGGUGAGUAACACGUGGGUGAUCUGCCCUGCACUUCGGGAUAAGCCUGGGAAACUGGGUCUAAUACCGGAUAGGACCACAUUUUGGAUGGUGUGGUGGAAAGUUUUUCGGUGUGGGAUGAGCUCGCGGCCUAUCAGCUUGUUGGUGGGGUAAUGGCCUACCAAGGCGUCGACGGGUAGCCGGCCUGAGAGGGUGUACGGCCACAUUGGGACUGAGAUACGGCCCAGACUCCUACGGGAGGCAGCAGUGGGGAAUAUCGCACAAUGGGCGCAAGCCUGAUGCAGCGACGCCGCGUGGGGGAUGACGGCCUUCGGGUUGUAAACUCCUUUCGCUAGGGACGAAGCGUUUUUGUGACGGUACCUGGAGAAGAAGCACCGGCUAACUACGUG